GAUGAACGCUGGCGGCGUGCCUAAUACAUGCAAGUCGAGCGAACAGAUAAGGAGCUUGCUCCUUUGACGUUAGCGGCGGACGGGUGAGUAACACGUGGAUAACCUACCUAUAAGACUGGGAUAACUUCGGGAAACCGGAGCUAAUACCGGAUAACAUAUUGAACCGCAUGGUUCAAUAGUGAAAGGCGGCUUUGCUGUCACUUAUAGAUGGAUCCGCGCCGUAUUAGCUAGUUGGUAAGGUAACGGCUUACCAAGGCAACGAUACGUAGCCGACCUGAGAGGGUGAUCGGCCACACUGGAACUGAGACACGGUCCAGACUCCUACAGGAGGCAGCAGUAGGGAAUCUUCCGCAAUGGGCGAAAGCCUGACGGAGCAACGCCGCGUGAGUGAUGAAGGUCUUCGGAUCGUAAAACUCUGUUAUCAGGGAAGAACAAAUGUGUAAGUAACUGUGCACAUCUUGACGGUACCUGAUCAGAAAGCCACGGCUAACUACGUG
This 497-nucleotide ribosomal RNA is filed under the name uncultured bacterium. RNAcentral describes it as "partial 16S ribosomal RNA". It matches the Rfam family "Bacterial small subunit ribosomal RNA", at positions 28 to 507 of the family's 1533-position model. The record is from RNAcentral.